RNAcentral lists this long non-coding RNA (435 nucleotides) under Homo sapiens (human). RNAcentral's name for it is "HSALNT0328873". Lineage: Eukaryota; Metazoa; Chordata; Mammalia; Primates; Hominidae. The record is from RNAcentral.
CAGACAGUGCAGAUAUGCUGGACAAAGGAAGGAGCCCUUCCCCAGGUCGGACAAAGCAGCCCAGCACGCAAAUGCAUCAGCCUACUCAAAACAGCUUGCAAUUUCAAACCUGCCAAUUGUUUAUUUUUGGAAUUUUCCACUUAACAUUUUCAGACUGCAGUUGACUGCAAGGAAACGAAAAUUAUGUGGUUAUACAAGGGUUUUUGGAAAGAAACACAGACAAAAUAAAGACACUGCACUAAGCUGGCUGCACCAACUUAAAUUUCAAGGGGGCUGCAUCCUAAUGACACAUCAUGGAGGAGAUGAAGAUGUAACAAUUAAAUCCAGCUAAUCAGGGGACAUGAAUAUUUCAGUGCACGCUAAAUACUGAUGUGAUUCCCCAGGCGGAAACUCCCACAGAGAAUUCUAUGAACAUGAAUAAAAGGGUUCUCUGAC